This 459-nucleotide ribosomal RNA is filed under the name uncultured bacterium. RNAcentral describes it as "partial 16S ribosomal RNA". It matches the Rfam family "Bacterial small subunit ribosomal RNA", at positions 338 to 795 of the family's 1533-position model. The record is from RNAcentral.
CCUACGGGGGGCAGCAGUGAGGAAUAUUGGUCAAUGGACGAGAGUCUGAACCAGCCAAGUAGCGUGAAGGAUGACUGCCCUAUGGGUUGUAAACUUCUUUUAUAUGGGAAUAAAAUGUUCCACGUGUGGGAUUUUGUAUGUACCAUAUGAAUAAGGAUCGGCUAACACCGUGCCAGCAGCCGCGGUAAUACGGAGGAUCCGAGGGUUAUCCGGAUUUAUUGGGUUUAAAGGGAGCGUAGGUGGAUUGUUAAGUCAGUUGUGAAAGUUUGCGGCUCAACCGUAAAAUUGCAGUUGAAACUGGCAGUCUUGAGUACAGUAGAGGUGGGCGGAAUUCGUGGUGUAGCGGUGAAAUGCUUAGAUAUCACGAAGAACUCCGAUUGCGAAGGCAGUUCACUGGACUGCAACUGACACUGAGGCUCGAAAGUGUGGGUAUCAAACAGGAUUAGAUACCCGGUAGUC